AAACUCUGGAAAUAACAAUAUUUCUGUGAAAAAAACUCUGAGCUUGAGAUUUCUAUUAUGUAGCCAGCAAGAACAUCUAAAUAUUGAAAAUCUAGGAACAGGAUUUUACAUGCCCUGGAAAAGGCUUUCCCAUCCAUUCACUGAUAAAACAUCAGGUAUGGCUAAGCACCCAAGCAGCCAGAGAAAAUGAACCUUCCAGGGCUGUUAAUCUAUGCACUGCUAGCUUCAUUCACAGUCUAACUUUUUGUGACUGACAGAAUCGUCUAAACUUUCUUCCAUAGAGUACUAGUAAGUCUAUAUGUGUGUGAUACAGGAACAAAUUUUUACGUGCAGAAAAAAGGCUUUCUCACCCAUGGCCUUUAGAACACAAGCUGUAACUAAGCUUCUGAUUAGAGAAAGAUUACAGGGCCCGUAUUCACUGGACUACAUACAUCCCUCACUGAGCAUGACUUUCUUCAUUGUAAGAACAUUAUGUCUACAAUUUCUCUCCUAUAGGUGGUGACAACAGCUUCCAACACAGAAGACUUUGCAUGCAAAGUGAAAAAAUGUCCUUUGUAUUUCCUGUCAGAACACUGGGUAUAACAAAGCUUGAAGAAACCUGAGAAAAUAGUUAAAUUUUUUACUACAUGCAUGACUCUGAAUCUACCAACGUUUCUGUGAAAGAACUCUGAGCUUCAGAUUCCUACCGCGUAGUCAGUAAGAACAUCUGUAUGUUGGGAACAUGGGGAGAGGACUUGGAAAGUCUUUCUCAUCCAUUCAGUGUUAAACGUCUCGAUGUGACUCAGCAUCCAAGUGGCCUGAGGAACAGCACUUUGGCAGGUCUGUUCAACAGUUCCCCACGAGCCUCACACCUGGCAGGAAGUACCCGCAGUGAGUGAAGCUGGCAGUGAACGCUGCAUCAGACCCGCAGAACGAGUUUCCAAGGCCACCUGAAAGAUGAUUCACACCUUGGUUUUAAGAGGGAAGGACGCGGGAGCGCGCCCAGAGCGUGUGGACGCUGGGCGGGAGCCGGGAGCUCCUGGACCAGCUCCCGGAGGAGGAACGCGGCCUGGGGUCUGGGCCUCCGCUUGCUGUCGCUUCUGCUGCCGCUGCCGAGCAGGUAAGGGGGCGCUGGUGGGGGCGCGCAGGUCGGGGAGCCGGCGGGUGAGGCCUGGGCUGUGCAGCUGGGGAGGCGCACAGGGAGGGGUGCUUAGGUGAGGUCCAGGCCCCGUGUCCCCAUGCAGACCCUGAGGCAGGUCCCAGGCCACUGCUCUGGUUGGG
Molecule: long non-coding RNA, 1260 nt
Filed under: Camelus dromedarius (Arabian camel)
Lineage: Eukaryota; Metazoa; Chordata; Mammalia; Artiodactyla; Camelidae
Description: lncRNA (ENSCDRG00005006222.1)
Source: RNAcentral